This 504-nucleotide ribosomal RNA is filed under the name Triticum aestivum (bread wheat). Its description in RNAcentral is "partial small subunit ribosomal RNA". Lineage: Eukaryota; Viridiplantae; Streptophyta; Magnoliopsida; Poales; Poaceae. The record is from RNAcentral.
AUGAGAUUUGAACAAUACGAGGGGUAUGAAAAGAUAUUUGGUUUCUUGUUUACUUCAGAUAGGCUGCGAUCACUAGAUGACAAGAGUUUGAUGGCUGCUUGUGUUAAUCUUGAAGAUUCACUUAAGAGUGGAGAACAUACAGAUAUUGAUGGACUUGAAUUGUGUUGCGAGCUAAUUUUCGUACAGGAUUCACUUCAGAAAUCUAUGGGUCCUCUUGACAUUCUGAAUUAUUUGAAGAAGCGCUCGACAAUCUAUCCUAAUGCUAUUAUUGCAUACAGAAUUUUAUUGACCAUUCCUGUAACUGUUGCAUCUGCGGAAAGGAGUUUAUAUAAACUCAAAUUAUUGAAGUCCUACUUGUGUUCUACUAUGACACAAGAAAGACUGAAUGGGUUGGCGACAAUAGCACUUGAAAACGAUGUCUUGGAGAAGAUAAAGUACGAAGAUAUGAUUGAAGAUUUUGUUUCAAGAAAUACUAGACGGAUGCUCCUUUUUGGUAGGACAUGA